GUGUCAGCCGCCGCGGUAAUACAGAGGGUGCAAACGUUGUUCGGAUUUACUGGGCGUAAAGCGCGUGUAGGCUGCUUCGCAAGUCGGAUGUGAAAGCCCUGGGCUCAACCCAGGAAGUGCAUUCGAAACUGCAGAGCUGGAGUCCUGGAGAGGAAGGCGGAAUUCUCGGUGUAGAGGUGAAAUUCGUAGAUAUCGAGAGGAACACCGGUGGCGAAGGCGGCCUUCUGGACAGUGACUGACGCUGAGACGCGAAAGCGUGGGGAGCAAACAGGAUUAGAUACCCUGGUAGUCC
This 292-nucleotide ribosomal RNA is filed under the name uncultured bacterium. Its description in RNAcentral is "partial 16S ribosomal RNA". It matches the Rfam family "Bacterial small subunit ribosomal RNA", at positions 505 to 796 of the family's 1533-position model. The record is from RNAcentral.